CUGGUUUGUUCAAGUUCAAGUUUAAGUUGAUUUAGUAAAUGUUUGUUUCUGCCACCAAGUCUGGUCUCCUGCAUUUGGGUCCUCCACCACAAUCCCUGACAUGAUCACCUCAUCGGUUUUUUUUGUUGUGUGUAUUCUUCUGAUGUCCCAAAUCGAUGGCGAGCUACUCAACCUGAAUCAAGCUGGACUAUAAACAUCUCAUCAAUCUGCAAUAGAGCCCAACGGAUUAUCACCACACUCAUUGCAGUGAAAUUCUCAAGAUUCAUGAACUUGGACACUUCAAACCACCUUCAUACCCCACAAUCUUCCUCCUCAGCCUUUGUCCCUAUUUUGUAUUUGACUUAUUUUUUUAUUUUUUUCCUUCAAUACAAUCGAUUGAAAUCUU
Long non-coding RNA from Oryzias melastigma (Indian medaka), 385 nucleotides. RefSeq lists it as uncharacterized. The record is from RefSeq and is a predicted model, not a curated record. NCBI's taxonomy places the organism in Eukaryota, Metazoa, Chordata, Actinopteri, Beloniformes, Adrianichthyidae. The transcript has 2 exons.